CCCUCAGCUCCAACUCUGCUGUGACUUGUCUAAAACUGUAAUUCUAUUUUCUUUUGUUUUCUUUAUUGCUUGUUUAAAAAAAAAAGACAACUUUAUUUAGUAACUCUAUCACCCCUUUCUGUACCCCUUCAAGUUCCCUCCUGUAUUUAUUUUUAUUUUUUUUCUGCUCAUUUCUACCAGGAGUGUUUUCAAAGUGGGGUUUUGGGUAGUAAAACUUCUGAGGCUGCUUCAUAGGUGAUACACUUUGAUUUGUGAUUCCUACUCUACCCUUAAAAACGAUUCAAUGGAAUAAUCUUCUGCCCCAGUCAGCUCUCACUGUUCACUUCCUUGUAGGUCAGAGUGCAAUAGGCCCUUUGAAAUCAUAAUCUCAAUGCUUGUAUUUGAAUGUGUCCACUCCCAGAAAUGAAUCACAAUGACAAAUCUGGAUUAGUGUCAAGCCUUCCCCAACUCUCAUUUUGAGCCGUUUGGCUCUGAAGCCAGCAAUGGCAUGAAGGGUAUGGCUGGAUUCUUCAUUCCUCCAUCUGUCCUCCACCUGGGGAACUCUGGCUUUCAAUCUCCUUGCUGCUUUCUGUUUUGAUUUCCCCCAAGUUCUCAGGUAGAAGAGGAAGACAGAGGAGGGAUAAAGAUAGGUGGAGAUGUCCAAGUGUAAAUUUAUGUAAGCUGGACAAAACAGCCAUGCCAAGGCAGAGAGACAUGGAAACGGUUGCUGUGACAGCCCUAUGACGAGAGUUGAUGUGUGGAAGUGUGGAAUGGGAGCCCCAGGGAGAAUGAUGGAAGGUAACACUGGGCAGAGGGCAUAAAAGUCAAUCAAUGCUCAUAAGGAGUUGGUUUUGUUAUUUAGGCUUUGUG
RNAcentral lists this long non-coding RNA (849 nucleotides) under Callithrix jacchus (white-tufted-ear marmoset). RNAcentral's name for it is "lncRNA (ENSCJAG00000087010.1)". Lineage: Eukaryota; Metazoa; Chordata; Mammalia; Primates; Cebidae. The record is from RNAcentral.